CCUUGAGCGUCUUCUUUUAAGCUUUAAUUCCUCAAAAUGAGAUUUUGAUAGUUCCUUCCUUUCCUUUCUGUCUGAAGUUUCUGAAUCAUGCCCUUUUCCUGGAUCAUGUUUUCUUUUGGAAUAUCUAUCUCUGUUUUUCUCUUCAACUCUAUUUCUGUAUUUUCUCUUGUUUUCUCUCUCAAAUUUUCCCCUACUUUCAUCCACAUGUCUAUCUCUCUCCAUUAAUUCUCUUGAAUGUUUCUUCAGAGCUUCAUUUUCAGCGUUACUGCUUCUCCACUCAUCUCUUUUUCUCCUUUCAUAACUUUUUUCAUCAGUCUUGCCUUUGGCUUUCUGAUCUUUGUCCAUUUUGGCCUUCAAUUUGGUUUCUGAAUCCCGAAUUUCUCUAUCUUUGCUUCUAGCUAAAUAGCCAUCCUUCAUGUAGGUAUUUUCUUCUUUCCUU
This 439-nucleotide unclassified non-coding RNA is filed under the name Hevea brasiliensis (rubber tree). The record is from RNAcentral. Lineage: Eukaryota; Viridiplantae; Streptophyta; Magnoliopsida; Malpighiales; Euphorbiaceae.